UUUCCGUAGGUGAACCUGCGGAAGGAUCAUUAAUGAGUUGUCAUGGGGUUCGAUGCUGGCAGCCAGUUUUUGGAUGCAUGUGCUUGCCCUGACAAUCAUCUUCUUCCAAACACCUGUGCACAUUUUUGAGGGAGUCUUGAGUUGGUUGCCGCUCUUGGGUGAUUUUCUCACAUUCCCUUAAAUCAUUAUACGCUAUUAACAAUGUUGAACGUGCUCUGUGCCGCAAGGCCAUUAAUAUAAUACAACUUUUAACAACGGAUCUCUUGGCUCUC
Molecule: unclassified non-coding RNA, 272 nt
Filed under: plant metagenome
Description: partial contains small subunit ribosomal RNA, internal transcribed spacer 1, and 5.8S ribosomal RNA
Source: RNAcentral